Molecule: ribosomal RNA, 440 nt
Filed under: uncultured bacterium
Lineage: Bacteria
Description: partial 16S ribosomal RNA
Rfam family: Bacterial small subunit ribosomal RNA
Source: RNAcentral
CCUACGUGAGGCAGCAGUGGGGAAUAUUGCACAAUGGGGGAAACCCUGAUGCAGCGACGCCGCGUGAGUGCAGAAGUAUUUCGGUAUGUAACGCUCUAUCAGCCGGGAGGAAAAUGACUGUACCUGACUAAGAAGCCCCGGCUAACUACGUGCCAGCAGACGCGGUAAUACGUAGGGGGCAAGCGUUAUCCGUAUUUACUUGGUGUAAAGGGAGCGUAGACGGCAGAGCAAGUCUGAAGUGAAAGCCCGAGGCCCAACUGCGGGACUGCUUUGGAAACUGCCCGGCUAGCGUGCUGGAGCGGUAAGCGGAAUUCCUAGUGUAGCGGUGAAAUGCGUAGAUAUUAGGAGGAACACCAGUGGCGAAGGCGGCUUACUGGACAGUAACUGACGUUGAGGCUCGAAAGCGUGGGGAGCAAACAGGAGUAGAUACCCCUGUAGUC